Molecule: long non-coding RNA, 3819 nt
Organism: Sciurus carolinensis (gray squirrel)
Lineage: Eukaryota; Metazoa; Chordata; Mammalia; Rodentia; Sciuridae
Exons: 3
Source: RefSeq, a predicted model, not a curated record
UGAAGAAGUCAAUCAAAUAGAAAGAGCAAAGCGCUUUCGUUCCUUGGAAAAGUGCAGGACAGAACAAAGCACACGCACUCUUUGCCAACUGUCUGUAGAAACCGGCUCUGUUCGCUCAUGCGCAGAGAAAAGCAGGCCCCGGACGGUGUGGGCAGGAGCCCGAGGAAUGGCCCCCCAGGGUCGCGGGCCUGUGUUUCCCGCACCUUUCAUCCUUUGUGCUCCUCCGCGAUUCCCAUGCAGAAGAACGCGCCAGCUCCUCGCUGAACCCUCCUCUUUCAGCCCCGCUCGGAAGGCGGGGCGCCCUGCAUAUUCAUGAGGCGUUUCCCGGGAGUCGGCGCCGCUGGCCCCAGCGAUGGUCAGGAAUGCGUGCCUGCGCCCCCGGAGCCGCGGGGACGCGCGCUCUGUGCGCUCGGCGCGGCGCCCGGCGGUUCCCGGGAAGGAGGAGAGGGCGCGGAGGGGAGCGGGCCGGCCGCGACCGGGAAGGGGACAAGCGGUGCCGCGGCCCCCAGGGCAGAGCCGAGCUGGUCCUCCAAAUGCAAGCCGCGCGCAGGCGGUGGGGACGCGCCGCAGCCGGGGUCGCGGCACAGCCGCAGCGCGCGCCCGCGCCCCGCGCUGGAGGGAAAGGAAGGACAGCUGGACCUGGGAAUAAGUAGUUGACGAGGAAACAGUGCCGACCAGCAUUUCCUUCCUACCCGUCCCUGCCGCGUCGCGAGUCGGCCCUGCGAGGCCCUGUUGGACUUACUGCACGCCCGUGUGCGACGCCCUUUCGCUGUCUCGGAGACGCCGUUUUCACUAGGCUAGCUAAAUCCCACUCUAAAGAGAAUUCUCCCUAAGUGUGUUUGCAGGAAAUUUUAUCUAGUUAUGGCUGAGAGUGUAAAUCAUCUUUAAUUAUAGGUAUAUCGCACACCUGCUAGAGACCCCGCUGGAAGCAUGGUACGAUGCAUGAAGGAGCCAGCCACAGCAUCCCAGGCCUGCCACAGGACAGGAGGCCCUAGAGCUGUCCUCUGACUGUCCACAGGAGAGGCCAGGAUACACAUGAGGAAGUGCAACUGCAUUACCACGGAGUUUCUUGCAAACAGAAAAGCAUUGCAGAACGACACCUUUCCUCAAACCAAAGCUGAUCCCAAUUCGUGUUAAAGCAGCAAAGUACAAGUAAACAUAUCUAUAAGGAGUCUUAACUCAAAACUGAAAGUAAAAAUAACACUUUUGUACUGCCUUUUUUCUCACAAAGUUUUAUCUCAUGGAAUGAUUUUUGUUUCUCAAACGUGUUUAGAAUAUUUGACCCCUGAAACCUUCACCUAACUCAUUGCAAGGUUUUACAACACUGUCCAUUUUGAAAUGUUUCCACAUGCUUCUCAAACCUGCAGCCUAGCCCCCAGCUGUUUCCCUGGAGGCUCUGGGUGGAAUUGGCUGCCACUCACAGUGAUAUUUGUCCAACCCCAAACUGCUUUUGCCCUGGACGGUGACACAUGUUUCACAGCUGAGCCUACAACCACAUUGAAUCUAAAAGUUUACAGGCUAAAUUCCAAAUUCCAAACUACCCUGACCUGUCUCCCUCUAUUCUCUGACUACAUGUACACGCACAAACUUGUCUGAAAAAAGUUGGUUUGUAAAUAGCAGAGAAACUGUCCCAGAGGUAUCCCCACAAUGAAAUAAUCCCUUUACUUUGUGCACAAGACAACCAGUUAGUUUUGUGUAAAAAAGACAACAUUUUCUUUUAAAUUUUUUUUGAUGAGUCAACUUAAUUUAAUUUCAUGGUUUGUUUUUAUUGGAUAAUCACUGAGUUAUCUGCAUAGUUGAAUCUCAAAUAUGAACUUUCAUCAUCUAAGGAAGAAUUUGCAUUGAAUAAUGUUUUAAGUUCCAACCAUCUCACUGUGAUGGAUAAUUAAGCCUGUGGUUAAAUGCAGCUAACUUCCUAACUGCUUCAGGUUUGAAAGCCUGCUGAAGUGCCUCUUGGCCUGAGGCCAUCAGAAUCUGGGCUUCUGGGUUCCCUUCCUCUACAGUCUGGGCCAGUCUGCUUUAGACCGUCUUGUGUGUUGAACUUCCUAAACCAGAAACAAAAAUGCUACGUGAAAGCCAGUGAUCCGACCAAGACUUUUGCUUCUUUCACCCCUGUACAGUAUUGCACAAAGACAGGAAAACUAGGGCAGAUCAAAUUUGGAGCCUGCCAGCCUCUGGUACUUGCCUUCAAGGACCGUUGAAGCCUUUUAAAGAGGUGCUAUAAUUUGGUUUUGGGGCAGCCUUCUUUCCACCAUUGUUGUAUCUACCAUUGGUUUUUCCAGUAAGCAGUUGAGUGCCAGUUCCUGGCAUUUCUUAAUUGUUAAAAGCAACACAUAAAGGAGAACUAUGAAGACUAAGACUUAAAUAAUCCACAAUUUUACGCAGAAUUCAUCUAUAAAAUCAUUCAGUCUUUCUAAACUAUGUGAAUGGAAUUUGUUUGCAUAAAUGUAAUUCCACCAAAGGCUUCUAAACUGUGAACUAAUUACACGAUCUAAUUUUGGCGCCUUCCCAAAGUUAAUCUCUGAAUUAGUUAUCUUUUGCUUUUUCUUUUAUGUGUCAUCUUGCUUUUUCACAUUUCAUUAGGAAUUAAAAACCAAGAGAGACAAAGUACAAGCUAUUUAUAUUUUAUCAGGUCUCAAGAUAAUGGAAAAUACUUUAUCCCAGUUAGAACUGCAGAAGUCAGUUGAUUCCUAAACCAAUAUUUUGGCACGAUAUGAAAGAACAAAUAAUUAUGGGCAGCAAUAUCUUAAAACAUUUUUUAAAAAUGAUCCCAAAGAGGACAGUUAUUGCACGGUUUUCAUUUUUAAUUGAAAUGAACCUCUGUGGCACAUGUGUCUGUGUGUGUGUGUGUGUGUGUGUGUGUGUGUGCAGUUUUCCAAAGUGUGCGGUUCUAGGGGGGCAAUAGAUGCUAUGUCGAGACCUGAGACAUGAGUUCAAGCUCUUUUCCUUCAUGUGCUGAUUUACAGCAGGGAAGUCAGCUAAUGUCUCUCAACCUCAGUUUUCUCAUGUAAAAUUUGAGCUAAUAAUACUUAUUCACUCUGGUUCAAGGGCUCUUCACAAAAAUUAAAGGAGAUAGUCUAUGUGAAACUUUGUGUUAAUUAUACACAUAGUGUCCUAAUAAAGUCCUGGUGAAUACUAUCAUUUUAGCAACAACUCCAUAGAUUUGGGGCAAUUUAUUGAACUCUACUAAAUUUCAUCACUUGUGAAAGUGGGGUUACUGUUUGAAGGAUUGUGGGGAUAGAAGUGUUAAUUGCAGUGUAACAUUGAACAUGGGUAUAUUAGUUAUGACUUUUUUUUUCAAGUAACAUGAACUUGAAAUAGUUGAAGCCAAAAGUGGGGAGGUAGUUAUUCAGAGUCUCAAGUGUCUCUGGAAAGGGCAAGGAGAUAGCUGAGCCUUAGAAGUCACUGGAGCUGGAAGCUGGAAGCUGGAAGCUGGAUGCUAACGAGACUUCUCUUUUCCCACUGCGCACUGGUCUUCUCUCACGCUGUCCAUGGAAGGCUGGACACAGCUCUGCAACUCCUGCCCCCUCAUCUCACAACUCUGCUACAAGGUGAAAAAAUCCUGGGCUGAAUUGCCCACCUCCUCGCCCAAGCCCUAAGCCUGGUGGUGCUUGUUGAAAAGUCCCAGGAAAAGGCAGCAGCGUCUGGGCUGGGCUGGGGCCCUGGAUGGGAGCAGUAAGCUCACAGACAGCCGCAGGUCGAUCCCCGCUGAAACCACGUUGCUAUUGCCCUGUUGCUAUUUUAGGAAGCAGCGCUAUUUCAGAGAAUUUCUCAUGUUUAAAAUUGUAUUUGUUUACUGCCUAUUAAAUCAUGCGUAAG